CAUGGUGACAAACAGAUAAGAAGAAAAGAAGAAAAAAAGUAUAAGUUUUAAUCUUCAACCUCAGACUCUGGAAAAUCAUCUUCAAAGUCAGGUAAAUCAUCCCUAGUGCCAGGAAAAUUCAUCAUCUCUGCUGGUCUCCAGUUGACUGUCUUAAUCACUAGCACUUGCUGCAUUAGAAA
Molecule: non-coding RNA, 179 nt
Organism: Ceratotherium simum simum (southern white rhinoceros)
Lineage: Eukaryota; Metazoa; Chordata; Mammalia; Perissodactyla; Rhinocerotidae
Source: RefSeq, a predicted model, not a curated record